CAAGCAUUUUUACAUUAUAUAGUAUUUAAACUCAGUUUUUGUUUCCUCUUAUGUCAUAAACUUUUUACAGAGCUUAUUGACACAGUAUUUUUCUUUCCCUUCAAUUUUCCACAGACUAAAAAGGAGGAAGAAGAGCUUUCUCUGGAAAUGAAAUCAAGCAGCUUUCCUUGUAUUGAAAGGAAAGCGGCUGAAGACAGAGUGUUCCAAGAACCAAGAGAAUGAAUGUGGCUGAUGUGUGGAGAGAAGAGAUGGACCAAGAUGAGACUGGAAAGUCUACUGCUGGGGCUGUUAACCAAACCCAACUCAUAAAGCAGAGGAUAAGAGAUCUUUUGACACAGUCUGGAAAAGUUGUAGAAGGCUGUUCAGCCAUGCCUAGGAGCAAGCCAACAGUAAGGAAGAUGAAUGCUUUCCAUUACAGCUCUCCAAAAAUGGGGAAUGUGAGUCAAGAAAUUCCAGAAUCCUGAAGUACAUCUGUAUCAGGUAAGGUUUUAAAAGAUGUUUAAAGAUAAUUUAAAUAGUCAGUGCAAUUUCUUAAUUUCUCCAAAUGUGCUGUGCUCUAUCAAACACACUUUUUGCCUUUGUAUCUGCAUUUCCCUUUGUCUGGCUUGCCGCUGCUUCGCCCAUCGACCACAUCAUCUUUUUCUUGUCAAUCUUUAUUUACCUUCAGGAGCCAUUUCAUCAUCGAUUCUUCUUUGAAAUAUAUUCUGAUUCCACCCUACCCCCUAGGCAGAGUUAUGAACCUCCUCACUGUGACCACAUUGAAUGUCUUAAACAAUAAACUCUCUUACAACAUUCAUUUCUUACAUUUGCCUACAUCCUUUCUCCUGUGCUAGACUAAUGCUAUUCAAAAACUGCUAUAUGCAUACACACAGGGAUGAAGUGAUGGUAUUAUAGACUGUGCCUGGCACAGAGGCUUGUUAA
Long non-coding RNA from Pan paniscus (pygmy chimpanzee), 921 nucleotides. The record is from Ensembl. NCBI's taxonomy places the organism in Eukaryota, Metazoa, Chordata, Mammalia, Primates, Hominidae.